AUCGAACGCUGGCGGCAUGCUUUACACAUGCAAGUCGAACGGUAACAGGUUAAGCUGACGAGUGGCGAACGGGUGAGUAAUGCAUCGGAACGUGCCCGGUCGUGGGGGAUAACGCAGCGAAAGCUGCGCUAAUACAGCCUACGAUCCGAGGAUGAAAGCGGGGGACCGUAAGGCCUCGCGCGAUCGGAGCGGACGAGGUAAGAUUAGGUAGUUGGUGGGGUAAAGCCCUACCAAGCCGACGAUCUGUAGCUGGUCUACAAGGACGACCAGCCCGACUGGGACUGAGACACGGCCCAGCCUCCGACGGGAGGCAGCAGUGGGGAAUUUUGGACAAGGGCCGCAGGCCUGAGCCGGCAAUGCCGCGUGCAGGAAAAAGGCCUUCGGGUUGUAAACUGCUUUUGUACGGAGCGAAAAGGCUCUCUCGAAUACAGGGGGCUCAUGACGGUACCGUAAGAAUAAGCACCGGCUAACUACGUGCCAGCCGCCGCCGUAA
This 493-nucleotide ribosomal RNA is filed under the name uncultured bacterium. Its description in RNAcentral is "partial 16S ribosomal RNA". It matches the Rfam family "Bacterial small subunit ribosomal RNA", at positions 29 to 523 of the family's 1533-position model. The record is from RNAcentral.